UGGCGAACGGGUGAGUAACACGUGAGUAACCUGCCCUUAACUCUGGGAUAAGCCUGGGAAACUGGGUCUAAUACCGGAUAUGACUCCUCAUCGCAUGGUGGGGGGUGGAAAGCUUUAUUGUGGUUUUGGAUGGACUCGCGGCCUAUCAGCUUGUUGGUGAGGUAAUGGCUCACCAAGGCGACGACGGGUAGCCGGCCUGAGAGGGUGACCGGCCACACUGGGACUGAGACACGGCCCAGACUCCUACGGGAGGCAGCAGUGGGGAAUAUUGCACAAUGGGCGAAAGCCUGAUGCAGCGACGCCGCGUGAGGGAUGACGGCCUUCGGGUUGUAAACCUCUUUCAGUAGGGAAGAAGCGAAAGUGACGGUACCUGCAGAAGAAGCGCCGGCUAACUACGUGCCAGCAGCCGCGGUAAUACGUAGGGCGCAAGCGUUAUCCGGAAUUAUUGGGCGUAAAGAGCUCGUAGGCGGUUUGUCGCGUCUGCCGUGAAAGUCCGGGGCUCAACUCCGGAUCUGCGGUGGGUACGGGCAGACUAGAGUGAUGUAGGGGAGACUGGAAUUCCUGGUGUAGCGGUGAAAUGCGCAGAUAUCAGGAGGAACACCGAUGGCGAAGGCAGGUCUCUGGGCAUUAACUGACGCUGAGGAGCGAAAGCAUGGGGAGCGAACAGGAUUAGAUACCCUGGUAGUCCAUGCCGUAAACGUUGGGCACUAGGUGUGGGGGACAUUCCACGUUUUCCGCGCCGUAGCUAACGCAUUAAGUGCCCCGCCUGGGGAGUACGGCCGCAAGGCUAAAACUCAAAGGAAUUGACGGGGGCCCGCACAAGCGGCGGAGCAUGCGGAUUAAUUCGAUGCAACGCGAAGAACCUUACCAAGGCUUGACAUGAACCGGAAAUACCUGGAAACAGGUGCCCCGCUUGCGGUCGGUUUACAGGUGGUGCAUGGUUGUCGUCAGCUCGUGUCGUGAGAUGUUGGGUUAAGUCCCGCAACGAGCGCAACCCUCGUUCUAUGUUGCCAGCGCGUUAUGGCGGGGACUCAUAGGAGACUGCCGGGGUCAACUCGGAGGAAGGUGGGGACGACGUCAAAUCAUCAUGCCCCUUAUGUCUUGGGCUUCACGCAUGCUACAAUGGCCGGUACAAAGGGUUGCGAUACUGUGAGGUGGAGCUAAUCCCAAAAAGCCGGUCUCAGUUCGGAUUGGGGUCUGCAACUCGACCCCAUGAAGUCGGAGUCGCUAGUAAUCGCAGAUCAGCAACGCUGCGGUGAAUACGUUCCCGGGCCUUGUACACACCGCCCGUCAAGUCACGAAAGUUGGUAACACCCGAAGCCGG
Molecule: ribosomal RNA, 1324 nt
Filed under: Pseudarthrobacter oxydans
Lineage: Bacteria; Bacillati; Actinomycetota; Actinomycetes; Micrococcales; Micrococcaceae
Description: bacterial SSU rRNA
Rfam family: Bacterial small subunit ribosomal RNA
Source: RNAcentral